AGUUCGAUCAUGGCUCAAGAUUGAACGCUGGCGGGAUGCUUUACAUACAGUCGAUGACAGUACGGACACGGUCUGGUGGCGAGUGGCGAACGGGUGAUGUGUAUCGGAACGUGCCCUGGCGGGGGAUAACUACGCGAAAGCGUAGCUAAUACCACAUACGCCCUUCGGGGGAAAAGCGGGACCUUCGAACUCACUAUUAGAGCGGCCGAUAUCGGAUUGGCUAGUUGGUGGAGUAACGGCUCACCAAGGCGACGAUCCGUAGCUGGUUUGAGAGGACGACCAACCACACUGGGACUGAAGAUUUGAAAGCCAGACUCUGCAGGAGAACGGCGAGUGGGGAAUUUUGGACAAUGGAAACCUGAUCCAGCCAUCCCGCGUGCGAUGAAGGCGGGGUUGUAAAGCACUUUUGGCAGGAAAGAAACGGCACGGGAUAAUACCCGUGCAACUGACGGUACCUGCAGAAUAAGCACCGGCUAACUACGAUGCCAGCAGCCGCGGUAAUACGUAAGGGUGCAGCGUUAAUCAGAAUUACUGGGCGUAAAGCGUGCGCAGGCGGUUCGGAAGAGUCUUGAAAUCCCGACAACUUUGGAACUGCAUUUUUAACUACCGAGCUAGAGUGUGUCAGAGGGAAGUGGAAUUCCGCGUCAGCAGUGAAAUGCGUAGAUAUGCGGAGGAACACCAUUGGCAAGAAGGCAGCCUCCUGGGAUAACACUGACGCUCAUGCACGAAAGCGUGGGGAACAAACGGGAUUAGAUACCUGGUAGUCACGCCCUAAACGAUGUCAACUGGCUGUUGGGGCCUUCGGGCCUUGGUAGCGCCUUCACUGCCCGUCAAAGUUGACCGCCUGGGGAGUACGGUCGCAAGAUUAAAACUCAAAGGAAUUGACGGGGACUACCACCGGCAGUGGAUGAUGGUUAAUUCAGGUAGCGAAAAGAACGCACCACCCUUGACAUGUCUGGAAUCCCGAAGAGAUUUGGGAGUGCUCGCAAAAGAGAACCGGAACACAGGUGCUGCAUGGCUGUCGUCAGCUCGUGUCAUUGAGAUGUUGGGUUAAGUCCCGCAACGAGCGCAACCCUUGUCGUGGUUGCACGAAAGGGCACUCUAAUGAGACUGCCGGUGACAAACCGGAGGAAGGUGGGGAUGACGUCAAGUCCUGUGGCUUCCGCUAUCGGUGCAGGGCUUCACACGUCAUACAAUGGUCGGGACGGGGUGCUAUUGCGCGAGGAGCCAAUCGGCCGAUCGUAGUCCGGAUCGCAGUCUGCAACUCGACUGCGUGAAGUCGGAAUCAUGUAGUAAUCGCGGAUCGUGCUGUGCUGUUGGAAUACGUUCCCGAGGUCUUGUACACACCGCCCGUCACACCAUGGGAGUGGGUUUUACCAAGUAGUUAGCUAACCGUAAGGAGGGCGAUUACAGUAAAGUUGUAUGGAGCAAGUCGUAACAAAGGUAA
RNAcentral lists this ribosomal RNA (1447 nucleotides) under uncultured Bordetella sp. RNAcentral describes it as "partial 16S-23S ribosomal RNA intergenic spacer". It matches the Rfam family "Bacterial small subunit ribosomal RNA". The record is from RNAcentral. Lineage: Bacteria; Pseudomonadati; Pseudomonadota; Betaproteobacteria; Burkholderiales; Alcaligenaceae.